Molecule: ribosomal RNA, 388 nt
Filed under: uncultured bacterium
Lineage: Bacteria
Description: bacterial SSU rRNA
Rfam family: Bacterial small subunit ribosomal RNA
Source: RNAcentral
AAUGAACGCUGGCGGCGCGCCUAAUACAUGCAAGUCGAGCGAGAAGACGUAGCAAUACGUUUGUAAAGCGGCGAACGGGUGAGGAAUACAUGGGUAACCUACCCUCGAGUGGGGAAUAACUAGCCGAAAGGUUAGCUAAUACCGCGUACGCUUCUUGGACUUCGGUUCAGGGAGGAAAGCGAUGCCGAGGGUAUCGCGCUCUUGGAUGGGCUCAUGUCCUAUCAGCUUGUUGGGAGGUAACGGCUCACCGAGGCUUCGACGGGUAGCUGGUCUGAGAGGACGAUCAGCCACACUGGCACUGCGACACGGGCCAGACUCCUACGGGAGGCAGCAGUAAGGAAUAUUGCGCAAUGGGCGAAAGCCUGACGCAGCGACGCCGCGUGGGGGA